CUGAUUUGAAGUCGAAGGAGCAUCAGACAAAUUAUUAGUACUCUCUUUUGUGGCUGAUACUUUAGUCCUUUCUUUGGAUCCUCUUGCCUUCCGUCCAAUACUGUUUUUUUGUGGGAGCUGGAGCAUGUGGGGUUUCCAAAAUGGUAAAUUGUUCAUUUGAGUCUUUAACACAGAAUUCUCCAGUUUGUGUCUUUGAAUUAG
RNAcentral lists this unclassified non-coding RNA (201 nucleotides) under Hevea brasiliensis (rubber tree). The record is from RNAcentral. Lineage: Eukaryota; Viridiplantae; Streptophyta; Magnoliopsida; Malpighiales; Euphorbiaceae.